RNAcentral lists this ribosomal RNA (869 nucleotides) under uncultured bacterium. RNAcentral's name for it is "bacterial SSU rRNA". It matches the Rfam family "Bacterial small subunit ribosomal RNA", at positions 26 to 896 of the family's 1533-position model. The record is from RNAcentral.
AGAACGAACGCUGGCGGUAUGCCUAACACAUGCAAGUCGAACGAGAAAGUGAUCUUCGGAUCGCGAGUAGAGUGGCGCACGGGUGAGUAACACGUGGAUAACCUGCCCUAUGGUCAGGGAUAACACUUCGAAAGGGGUGCUAAUACCUGAUAAGCCUACGACUUCUUCGGGAGCUGUAGGAAAAGAUUUAUUGCCAUAGGAUGGGUCCGCGGUCCAUUAGCUAGUUGGUGGGGUAAUGGCCUACCAAGGCUACGAUGGAUAGCUGGUCUGAGAGGAUGAUCAGCCACACUGGAACUGAGACACGGUCCAGACUCCUACGGGAGGCAGCAGUGGGGAAUUUUGCGCAAUGGACGAAAGUCUGACGCAGCAAUACCGCGUGAAGGAUGAAGGCCCUUGGGUCGUAAACUUCUGUCAGUGGGGAAGAAAUACUCGUAAGAGUGCUGACGGUACCCACAAAGGAAGCACCGGCUAACUCCGUGCCAGCAGCCGCGGUAAUACGGAGGGUGCAAGCGUUGUUCGGAAUUAUUGGGCGUAAAGAGCAUGUAGGCGGACUAUUAAGUCUGGUGUGAAAGCCCGGGGCUCAACCCCGGAAGUGCAUUGGAUACUGGUAGUCUUGAGUAUGGGAGAGGAAAGUGGAAUUCCGAGUGUAGGAGUGAAAUCCGUAGAUAUUCGGAGGAACACCAGUGGCGAAGGCGGCUUUCUGGACCAAUACUGACGCUGAGAUGCGAAAGCGUGGGGAGCGAACAGGAUUAGAUACCCUGGUAGUCCACGCCGUAAACGAUGGGCACUAGGUGUUGCGGGUAACCACUCCUGCAGUGCCGUAGCUAACGCAUUAAGUGCCCCGCCUGGGGAGUACGGCCGCAAGGCUA